UUUGAUUCGAUUCCCUCCUCCUUUUCGGACCUCCAAUCGCUGCAUCAUAUGAAUGUUUGAUUCAGGAGAUGUCCGCCGCUCCUAUAGCCUCUCUUCCACCGAGGGUUCGCCCUCGCUUCCAUCCAGCUACGGAUGGUAUCAUUUGGCUCUCUUAUUUGACCUAAUUAGGGCUCUGGGCACGGAUUGGUUUUCCAUUUGGCGAUUUGAACUGGAGAAGUCCAUUUUUUAUGGUUUGUUCGAUCCUGACUUCUUCGUUUAUUCUCGUUUUGCUGCCUCGUUGUCGGAGACACCUUUGGGCCUAUGAGUCGAUUUUGUUAUAUAAGCAUUUAUCGAAGUCAUGAUAAAAUUAAACUACAAAAGGCUACUUCAGGGAUCGUUUUGGCUUGUCGGUUCCCAAAUCGGCAUCUUUCUCGGUGACGAUAGCUGCAAGCUCUAUGACAUGUUUCCAUUGAUGUUUGAUGCGGUUCGACCAGCAUGAUAUGUAUACAUAUUCGGAAGUUGAAAUUAUUAGUUUUGAAUAACAACAAAAAAUGGAUCUCUUUGGUGUUGAUAAACUUUGCAGCUUAAGAUGCACUUCAGAUGCUAGUAACAGUAUCAAAGUUAAUAUCUGAGAUCAAAGAAGCAAGACUCAAGGGCAGAGCUUUAAGUGUUCGAUGGUUGUCUUCAAUCAUAUUUUCUACCGAAAUAUAUCAUCGGAUAACAACAGAAUAUUUGCUGCCCGAAAUAGAACAAAAGAGAUGUGGAUUGGUCAAGAUGUUGACUAACCUAGUUUACAGGAAAUAGUUGUUGCAACAUGCUGUACAUCGUUCUUUCCAAUAACCUGAAGAUGUUUGUUUAAAGCUUCUCAGUUUUUACUCAUGUUUUAGCUAAGUUGUAUAAUUAUGCCCAUUCUAUCCACAAAUAUUCUUGGCUUUGCCAGCAACAGAUACGUUUUUCUCCUAAGCAUAAACCAAUAAUUGUUUUUUUUUCUUUUUCCUUUAGUUUCUUAUGGCUGGUGUAACAUGGUAUAGCAUUUGAUUGAAUUUUCAGGGAAGUAAGGUAACCAGAAGAAGUUGCUCUACAUGUAAAGCUUUUGACCUUCUAUCUGGCCCAGGUUUUUAUAUAUAGUUGGACAAGUAGUAAAAUAGACAGAGCAGAUGGCUGUUGUAGAAUUUACUCCGAAAGGGGUUCCAACUGCAGUGAAGAAUAGAAAAGAAGAAGAAACAUGAUAAAUGUUAUCUCUGGAUGCUCCUCUUUCAGUGUUUGCUCUUCUAUCAUUUGUUUUUUUUUCUUUCUGGUUCUUUAGUUUACCUUUAUUCUCAAAGACUGUUAAGUAUAAGAUUGGAAGAAACAAGAUAAAUGUUAUCUCUGGAUGCUCCUCUUUCAGUAUAUGCUCUUCUGUCAUUUUUUUUUUCCUGGUUCUUUAGUUUACCUUUAUUCUCAAAGACUGCUAACUAUAAGAUUGGCUCUACUUUUGAUUCUUUUUAUUCCCUUAGAUUUGUUCAGCAUAGGAUUAUUUUUUAAAAAGUGAAAGUUGAAUUAUUUAAAAGCUAAUGUGUUUGCCAACUCAGGCGAAUAACAUUUUCCUCUACAUAAGCCGUUAAGGUCCUCUUGAAGUUUUAUUUACUCUUGUUCGUAUGUGUUUGUGUCCCAAAAUUUAUGUACAAUUUAGCUGGUUUAUUUUCGUAAAAUCUGUCAAUUCUCUGGCUAAGAAUAUUGGAUGAUGCUUUCAUGUUAAAGUAACAAUUUUUGCACUGUUCCGGAGGUGAAUAGUAGGAUCUCUUAUGUGAAAAUCAAGGGUGAAUUUUGGUGCCACCGUAAGAUGUCCAUUUGCAACUUUGGUAGUCAGAGCUAGGGUCAUGGAACAUCUGCUUUGUUGUAUUUUGUAUUAAUGGGAGCCUUGUGUAAUGGCUUACAUUCUUUUUAUUUCUCAUUGCAAUGGAUAACAUCCUCAAACUUUUCAUACAUAAAGCUUGAAACAUUACAAUAUCUUUGAACAUUUCAAACCUUGUAGGGGGCUCAAUGAUGAAGGUAAUAUAGCAACUUAAAAUGGACUUGCACUAUUAGAAACUGCUAGGCCUUUUUAAAUUUCACUGGUGUAUCACUGAAAGUUUCAUAUAUAACUAUAUAUAUAGACAUAUAACUUCCACUAGUGGAUUGUUAAAUAUUUCAUAUAUAUUCCUCAUCACACAGGAAAUUACAAUACUGACAAUAAAACAAUCUACUAUCCUUUUGGCUUGUAAAUGGAGCAUCAUACCUUUCAGCCUAUCAAGCAUGUUGAGUUUUCAAAGAGCUUUGCAGUUCUAAUGCUCACCAUUUGUUUUGCAUAUAAUUUUAUGAAGAGAAAUAUGUUCUGUUUUCUUUAUGAAUUUUUGUUGUUUUUGGCCAAUUAUUUUUUGUUCUAUAUAUAGUAAUCUAUGCAUCUACAGCUCCUUGUUAGAUUCAAUUUUAAUUCAUUUGAGCAGGUAAGCUGUUAAUUUGACUAAUUCUGAAGUGCUACUUACAGAUGUUUUGAGAAAGAUUUCUAAUUUGCAAGAUAGUCUCUCAUGGGCAAGCAAAGGGUUGCUUAUGGAGUGUGUUAUCACUCAUUGACGCCAGCACAUGAAAGGUUAUCAAUGAUGAGCACUAUCAGUACCUGAUAACUUCCGAUGACAUGGAUCACGACGAAUAUAUUGGCCGUUGCAAUCAACCACCUUGGCUUCUCAAGGGUGAUGAGAAUGUUGUCAUCAACAACAUUGCCAAAGGCCCAGUAUCCAAUUAGAGCAACAGGGAAGUAGCAAAUAGCAACAACAAGCACCACAUUGUGCCCUGCAUAUGCAAAGGCAACAUCUCCCAGCGCACUGAGGAAGUUGAAGACAACUCCUGUUGUGGUUGAAGCCUUGUAGCUGUAAUCAACAUCUGGUUGGCCUUUCUCCACGGAUGCAACCCAGGCAAUGGUAGAGUAGCUGAUCAUAUCGCAGAGGUACCUGAGGGACAUGACAGCCGCGGCCAAGGAGACGCCUGAGAUGGAGUUGAAGUCGGGAAGCUGAGAGAGAACAAACUGCACGGAGGCGAAGAUCAUGAUGAAGUAAGAAAGCUUGAUGUUCUUGCAGUCGGGGCAGAUGGUGUCGUGGAACUUCUUGAUGGACCUGCCACCGGUGACCAUGUACACGAUGUCGGUGCCGACCUCCACGAUCAGCUGCUGCGGGACGAUGAUCCAGAGCCCGAGCUUUUCUCCAAACACAUGCUGUCCCAGCUCGUGGUAGCGGUCGAAUCGCUUGCCAGGGACCAUCUCGUGCAUCUCCACCAUCUGCCAUAGGGUGUACAAGGUGAUGAUCCACGACAAGACGAGCACCGCCACGCCAGGCCCCCUGAGUUUGCGGCAACAUUAGUCUGAUGACACUCAUCCUAGAUCGAAUUGAAGUUGGAUUCGAAAUCAAAAGAUGAUUUAACAAUAAGAUCAUGAGAUCGAACUUGCAUCUCGUCGAUCGAGACGUAAAGUCAGGCUUUAAAGGAAGGCUUUAGAUGAGAUGAGAUGAGGAAAGUAUACCAUCCGAGUUCUGCCAUGGCGUAGGGCAAGCUGAGGACGCCGGCGCCGACCAUGGCCGUGACAUUGUGGAAGGCAGAGUACCACC
Molecule: long non-coding RNA, 3593 nt
Organism: Musa acuminata AAA Group (dessert banana)
Lineage: Eukaryota; Viridiplantae; Streptophyta; Magnoliopsida; Zingiberales; Musaceae
Exons: 5
Source: RefSeq, a predicted model, not a curated record